AAAAAUGAUAGCUAGAUGUCGCUUAUAAAGAAAAAUUUUGAUGAACACGCCUUGUUUUUGAAAUUUGUUUUUUUGUUUUAUGGGUAGCAAAAAAUAUGGAAGCCGAAUAUAUCAUCUCCAAAGCAUUAUAUAGUAAAAAAUGGGUCACUGCAAUGAUAAAACAACUUCUCGUUAUUAAUGCCGAAAGCCAAGCCACUUCACCAGCCAGUUGCUCCGCGGGUACAACUUUUAGUUUCCGCAGAGUAUGAAUUGUGCAACCCAACCCUGAACCAGAAUAUCCCGGUGCAUCCAUUGGAAUCCCGAAAAUAUGAAAUCCAAAAGAAUCUGCAUCUAUUCCAGUCGGUGUUUGACAAAUUAAUGUUACAUGCUAAUGCUUAUGGAACGCGAAAAGAAAACCAAUAAAAAUGUUUGUGUGUAAAAAUAUUUUAUUUAUUACUAUUUUGUA
Molecule: long non-coding RNA, 445 nt
Organism: Episyrphus balteatus (marmalade hoverfly)
Lineage: Eukaryota; Metazoa; Arthropoda; Insecta; Diptera; Syrphidae
Exons: 3
Source: RefSeq, a predicted model, not a curated record